GGUUCGGUAGCUCAGUCGGUAGAGCAGAGGACUGAAAAUCCUCGUGUCGGCGGUUCAAAUCCGUCCCGAACCACCA
This 76-nucleotide transfer RNA is filed under the name Pseudobdellovibrionaceae bacterium. Its description in RNAcentral is "Bdellovibrionaceae bacterium tRNA-Phe". It matches the Rfam family "tRNA". Rfam says of the family: Transfer RNA (tRNA) molecules are approximately 80 nucleotides in length. Their secondary structure includes four short double-helical elements and three loops (D, anti-codon, and T loops). Further hydrogen bonds mediate the characteristic L-shaped molecular structure. tRNAs have two regions of fundamental functional importance: the anti-codon, which is responsible for specific mRNA codon recognition, and the 3' end, to which the tRNAs corresponding amino acid is attached (by aminoacyl-tRNA synthetases). tRNAs cope with the degeneracy of the genetic code in two manners: having more than one tRNA (with a specific anti-codon) for a particular amino acid; and 'wobble' base-pairing, i.e. permitting non-standard base-pairing at the 3rd anti-codon position. RNAcentral also lists the same sequence under 1 other name. The record is from RNAcentral. Lineage: Bacteria; Pseudomonadati; Bdellovibrionota; Bdellovibrionia; Bdellovibrionales; Pseudobdellovibrionaceae.